GACGAACGCUGGCGGCGUGCUUAACACAUGCAAGUCGAACGGAAAGGCCCUGCUUUUGUGGGGUGCUCGAGUGGCGAACGGGUGAGUAACACGUGAGUAACCUGCCCUUGACUUUGGGAUAACUUCAGGAAACUGGGGCUAAUACCGGAUAGGAGCUCCUGCUGCAUGGUGGGGGUUGGAAAGUUUCGGCGGUUGGGGAUGGACUCGCGGCUUAUCAGCUUGUUGGUGGGGUAGUGGCUUACCAAGGCUUUGACGGGUAGCCGGCCUGAGAGGGUGACCGGCCACAUUGGGACUGAGAUACGGCCCAGACUCCUACGGGAGGAAGAAGUGGGGAAUAUUGCACAAUGGGCGGAAGCCUGAUGCAGCAACGCCGCGUGCGGGAUGACGGCCUUCGGGUUGUAAACCGCUUUCGCCUGUGACGAAGCGUGAGUGACGGUAAUGGGGAAAGAAGCACCGGCUAACUACGU
RNAcentral lists this ribosomal RNA (467 nucleotides) under uncultured bacterium. RNAcentral's name for it is "partial 16S ribosomal RNA". It matches the Rfam family "Bacterial small subunit ribosomal RNA", at positions 28 to 506 of the family's 1533-position model. The record is from RNAcentral.